RNAcentral lists this unclassified non-coding RNA (230 nucleotides) under uncultured fungus. Its description in RNAcentral is "partial contains 5.8S ribosomal RNA, internal transcribed spacer 2, and large subunit ribosomal RNA". Lineage: Eukaryota; Fungi. The record is from RNAcentral.
AACGCACAUUGCGCCUCUUGGUAUUCCGGGAGGCAUGCCCGUUCGAGCGUCAUUACACCCCUCAAGCCUAGCUUGGUCUUGGAGCCUGCAGCGCGCUGCAGCUCCCGAAUUUCCCGGCUGGCUCUGUCGUCUCUCAGCGUUGUGAAAUAUUCGCAGUGAGCGCGCCAGACCCAGCCGUUAAGCCUUCUAAGGUUGACCUCGGAUCGGGUAGGGAUACCCGCUGAACUUAA